Molecule: ribosomal RNA, 327 nt
Filed under: uncultured eukaryote
Lineage: Eukaryota
Description: partial 18S ribosomal RNA
Rfam family: Eukaryotic small subunit ribosomal RNA
Source: RNAcentral
CCCUUAGAUGUUCUGGGCCGCACGCGCGCUACACUGACGAAUGCAACGAGCUUAUAACCUUGGCCGAAAGGUCUGGGUAAUCUCCAAAUUUCGUCGUGAUGGGGAUAGAUUAUUGCAAUUAUUAAUCUUCAACGAGGAAUGCCUAGUAAGCGCAAGUCAUCAGCUUGCGUUGAUUACGUCCCUGCCCGUUGUACACACCGCCCGUCGCUCCUACCGAUUGAAUGGUCCGGUGAAGCGUUCGGACCGUGGCCUUUGGACGGUUCGCCGUCUGUUGGCUGCGGGAAGUUCGUUAAACCUUAUCAUUUAGAGGAAGGAGAAGUCGUAACA